This 506-nucleotide ribosomal RNA is filed under the name uncultured bacterium. Its description in RNAcentral is "partial 16S ribosomal RNA". It matches the Rfam family "Bacterial small subunit ribosomal RNA", at positions 30 to 523 of the family's 1533-position model. The record is from RNAcentral.
AUUGAACGCUGGCGGCAGGCCUAACACAUGCAAGUCGAACGGUAACAGGAAACAGCUUGCUGUUUCGCUGACGAGUGGCGGACGGGUGAGUAAUGUCUGGGAAACUGCCUGAUGGAGGGGGAUAACUACUGGAAACGGUAGCUAAUACCGCAUAACGUCGCAAGACCAAAGAGGGGGACCUUCGGGCCUCUUGCCAUCGGAUGUGCCCAGAUGGGAUUAGCUAGUAGGUGGGGUAACGGCUCACCUAGGCGACGAUCCCUAGCUGGUCUGAGAGGAUGCCCAACCAAACUGGAACUGAGACACGGUCCAGACUCCUACGGGAGGCAGCAUUGGGAAAUAUUGCACAAUGGGCGCAAGCCUGAUGCAGCCAUGCCGCGUGUAUGAAGAAGGCCUUCGGGUUGUAAAGUACUUUCAGCGGGGAGGAAGGGAGUAAAGUUAAUACCUUUGCUCAUUGACGUUACCCGCAGAAGAAGCACCGGCUAACUCCGUGCCAGCCGCCGCCGUAA